GGCUUUUGCGGGAGGUGGGGGAAAGGACAGAGCUGUGCUUGCAGCUGUGCUCUGUCCUUUCCCCCACCUCCCGCAAAAGCC
Non-coding RNA from Podarcis lilfordi (Lilford's wall lizard), 81 nucleotides. The record is from the annotation of a GenBank genome assembly. NCBI's taxonomy places the organism in Eukaryota, Metazoa, Chordata, Lepidosauria, Squamata, Lacertidae.